RNAcentral lists this ribosomal RNA (253 nucleotides) under uncultured bacterium. Its description in RNAcentral is "partial 16S ribosomal RNA". It matches the Rfam family "Bacterial small subunit ribosomal RNA", at positions 524 to 776 of the family's 1533-position model. The record is from RNAcentral.
UACGUAGGGUGCGAGCGUUGCCCGGAUUUAUUGGGCGUAAAGGGCGCGUAGGCGGCUCGGCACGUCCGUUGUGAAAUCGCCCGGCUCAACUGGGCGGGGUCAGCGGAUACGGUCGAGCUUGAGCAAGCUAGGGGGCAAUGGAAUUCCCGGUGUAGUGGUGGAAUGCGUAGAUAUCGGGAGGAACACCAGUGGCGAAGGCGGUUGCCUGGAGCUUUGCUGACGCUGAGGCGCGAAAGCCAGGGGAGCGAACGGG